CGGAUGAAUCACCCUCAUGUGAAGAAGGAAAUGUGAAAGAUACUUGCAUUCAAACACUCCCUUGUUUUAUUGAAAUUCAAGAUGUAAUGAAUAGUAACCCUCAACAAGUAGUGACCAUGACAUUGAGAAAUCAUAAGUUCAAUGCUAACUCUGAGAGUUGUAAGGUUCUAGCUGCAUUCUCAGAUUAUGGUAAACGUCAAAGAGUUCAUGAAAAUAAUAAAGCAACAACAGUUGGUUCUGGGACAAACCAUUCCAAGUAUAUCACAAAUUUCAUUGCACGUCACAAUUCACAUAUCAGACGGGACAAGACUUGUCGAAGAGAGAAAGUUUCUUGUUCUGAAUGUGGAAAAUGUUUCGCUAAAUCAAAACUUACACGUCACAAGAGGAUUCAUACAGGAGAGAGACCAUUUUGUUGUUUAGAAUGUGGGAAAAGAUUUAAUCAGAAAUCAAACCUUACAGUUCACCUGAAAAUUCACACAGGAGAGAAACCAUUUUCAUGUUCUGAGUGUGGGAUUAAAAUGACUGCGAAGGCCUCUCUUAAAAAGCAUCAGGCAUCACACAAGAAAUAAACUAUUUCCUUUCCUCUAUCGGAGCUCAAAGUGUCCAUUCAGUGGUGAGUGGAAGUUGAGCCCCUGUUGUCGUUUAAAUGUGGGCAUGUUCCCCAGAGUUGCAGUUUAUAUGCAUCAUUUCAUUUGUGAGACAGGAGCAAUAUGUGCGUCUCACUCUGUACACAACUCUAUCUCCCUGCAGGACAAAACAAGAAAAUGAUAGAGUGCAGAAAUACAUCCUGUGUUUUGUUGUUUAAAGCUUUUAUUGAACUUUUUAUAACAUGACAUGAGUUUGUGGGUAUUCGGAACACCUUCAGUAUAAUGAGUAAAUGCAGCACAAAAAAUUUAGGAGGAGGGGAAAUGGAGAGAGAAACAAAGAGGGGAAAAAAAUGUAUGAUAUAACUGCGAUGCUCUAUGUGCAAAGCUACCAUGGAAAUGAGUAGCCUCAAUUCGCUCCCCUAAGAUACCCUGAGCGAAAUCUCCAGGAACGCUCACUCACAAUGCGAAUAGGUUCAUAUUCAUUCCAGGUAAAGCGAAAUGGUUUAAUUUGUAGCAUUAGCAAGCUUUUCUGUUUAAAGUAUAUGCUAAAUUUGGGCGUCCGCUUUGGAAAGAACGGUUAUCUUACACUUUUUGAAUUAUAUUCUUAAAGCAGCACUUAGUCAGAGAAUGAGUUUGUGGGUGUUCGGAUCACCUUGAGUAUAGUCUUGAUUAAGGAGAGGGACCCAUAUCCCCUCUCGGGGGUCAGUUGCACAUGUAACAAUGUCUGGUCAAUUUUACUUAAUUUGUAAUAGUAGGAACUAAAAGGAAAGGGUGGCUAAAGGAGGACAUCUUCGAAGAGAGACACUGCAUAAGAGAGGGGUUGGAUAAGGAACAGAGAGAAUAGGAAGGAACAUGCUAGAAUGAGACAUGUGGUAUAAAGGAAUAUUUGGAGGCUGACGUGGAGGAAAGAAAGUAUUUAGGGAGCUCUGAGAAAUCUGGGGUAAGAAGCAAGGCGGCUGAGAUGACCUGUUAAAAGAACACUAUAGCAUUAAGAAUGCUAAUGUGUAUCCCUAACACUAUAGAUAGUACCCUUGUCACCAUUUAGGUAAUGCCCCACCCACGAGGAUUAUCCGUUAACGUGGCAGACGCUGCUCUGUCUGCGGCUCGUCUUGCCUUCUUGGCAGAGAUGUGUAUGUGCCAGUCAGAUGGUCUGUGAGAUUAUCUGAUUAAUUAUUGGAGGACAGCAGCCACUAGAGACAGGCUAACCCGGCAAAGAAAACAUUGUCUUUCCUUUAGUAUUGCAAUGUUUUCAGCUGCAGGUUAAAAUGGGGGUGCAUGAUACCCAGACUUCAUUGAGAUGAAGUGGUCUAGGUACUUAUAGUGUUCCUUUAAUUAACCAAAGAAUAUUUAGGUUGACAUGUUGCAGAGUCCACUAGUUUAUUUACCAUAAAGCCGUGUGUAUAAUUGUCUGAUAUUUGUCCAGGGUUUGUGUUCCUGACCCUAUAGUGUUCCUAAACCACACACUCAAAGUGCUUUCAAAUAUUUGUGCACAUCUCACAAGAAUACCAAAAAUGCAUAGAAAACCUACCGGAUUGAUUCAAUAUGAGAGAGAAAACAGAAAGAACCCAUAUAGUGUAAUACUGAUCUUUAAAGGACCACUGUAUGCACCCAGACCACUUCAGCUUAAUGAAGUGGUCUGGGUGCCAGGUCCCUCUAGGAUUAACCCUGAGGGGGCACCCUCAGGGCACUAUAGUGCCAGGAAAACGAGUAUGUUUUCCUGGCACUAUAGUGGUCCUUUAAAUAUGCAAGUGAUGUGUAUAUGAGUUAAACCAUCCACAAACACAGAGCUGGUAGAGACUGAUCAGGCUGUUAAUGCUCCAAUACGCCACCUCAGUAGGGGACAGUGUAGUUAAUUCCUCCUGGACAAGUGAUGGUCAGCAGAAACUGUUCAAUGAUUCUAUUUCACAAAUAAAACUAUUUAAAAAGCAGAUAAAUACCCGGUAUAUCACCCAAGUUCUUUCUAAUAACAGCUGCCCAAUGCGAGCGUUGGCAAACUGGCACUCCGAGGUAUACUACACUUGGAACUCUUGCGGGAGGCGAGUCAAUGACGUCCUGAUUACACAAUGUGUUGCUUUAAUGUGGGUGCUUCCUGACUAAAACAAUAAAUACAUGUAAAUAAAGAGGAACUGUCAAUGUUGAUGUUAUAGUUUAACCCUUUAAGGACGGAGUCAGUAGUACAAGUUGUGAUCAAAACGUAAACAAAACCUGGAACUUGCGCGAAAUGUCUGUUCAACCAGAAUUCAUCUUUUUCAUAUUAAGUGCACCCACACUUAUUAUAUAGCAUUUAAUUCAGGAGAAACAGGG
Molecule: non-coding RNA, 2891 nt
Organism: Pelobates cultripes (western spadefoot toad)
Lineage: Eukaryota; Metazoa; Chordata; Amphibia; Anura; Pelobatidae
Source: the annotation of a GenBank genome assembly